Enterococcus durans ATCC 6056 is the source of this 74-nucleotide non-coding RNA. NCBI's taxonomy places the organism in Bacteria, Bacillati, Bacillota, Bacilli, Lactobacillales, Enterococcaceae. The record is from Rfam.
GUACCCUUAGCUCAGUUGGUUAGAGCAGACGGCUCAUAACCGUCCGGUCGUAGGUUCGAGUCCUACAGGGUACA